GGUACAGGUCGAUUAUUUUGGUGUAUUAGGUUGCAUUUCCCACCUGGGUAAGGGCUUCCUAGAGAGACCACCAGAAGCUGUUCCAGCUGGGAGUUCAGGCAUGAGUUCCAGGCUGGGUUGGAGAAAGAGAAACUUCAUGGGCAAUGGUGUGCAUGCCUGAGCCAUAUUUCCUAUUAACAGUUUACAAAGAGAAGAUAUCCAAGUCUUUAUGCUUUUAGGAUCUCCUGACCAGACCCAGUGGGUAAGAAGGGGAAAUGGAACACUUAAAAUAUUGGUGUCAGUGCAUUUUGAAGAAGCUCUACAUGUAGUACUCAUGGCAUGAGGCUUUAAGGAAGUCAACUGAAUGGUUCCCCAGGAAGAUCCUGCUUUGAUAUAACAAAGUUCUUUUUGUUGCAAAAAUGGCAAGAAGAAAGGGGACAGUGUGUGAGCUGAAGAGACUGAAAUAGUCACAUCACAGGCAAUCAAAAUGGAUCUCUUGCUGUAGAUCACAACAAUGCAGAAUUUCUAAUGCAGAAAGGAUUCAAGAAUAGAAAAGAAGGCAUCCAGAGUUUAAGAAAAGCACAAAGGAGAGGGAGGAUUAGUUGUAAGCUCCAGUGCCAUGGUCAGCUCCUGUGCUUACUUUAUUGCUUUGCCUGUUCCCUACUGUGGCUCUGGAAGUACAGAAAAUCUUUUAUGUAAUGAAAGUUGGCUCGGAAGGAGGAUCUGCUCUGAGAUUCCCCGGAAGACCAAACCAGCUCUAAUUCCUUCAGUUUAACCUUUUACUUCCGGAGGAUUUGCCAAGGAAGGAGUUGUUUGUUUUUUUUUUUUCCCUAGACAAAUGUAUUAAUAUUUAAUAAAACAUGAAGCCAUAUGAUGCUUCUACA
RNAcentral lists this long non-coding RNA (863 nucleotides) under Coturnix japonica (Japanese quail). Its description in RNAcentral is "lncRNA (ENSCJPG00005020023.1)". The record is from RNAcentral. Lineage: Eukaryota; Metazoa; Chordata; Aves; Galliformes; Phasianidae.